Molecule: ribosomal RNA, 253 nt
Filed under: uncultured bacterium
Lineage: Bacteria
Description: partial 16S ribosomal RNA
Rfam family: Bacterial small subunit ribosomal RNA
Source: RNAcentral
UACGUAGGGUGCGAGCGUUAAUCGGAAUUACUGGGCGUAAAGCGUGCGCAGGCGGUUUUGUAAGCCAGAUGUGAAAUCCCCGGGCUCAACCUGGGAAUGGCAUUUGGGACUGCAAGGCUUGAGUGCGGCAGAGGAGACUGGAAUUCCUGGUGUAGCAGUGAAAUGCGUAGAUAUCAGGAGGAAUACCGAUGGCGAAGGCAGGUCUCUGGGCCAAUACUGACGCUCAUGCACGAAAGCGUGGGGAGCAAACAGG